Molecule: ribosomal RNA, 1075 nt
Filed under: uncultured bacterium
Lineage: Bacteria
Description: bacterial SSU rRNA
Rfam family: Bacterial small subunit ribosomal RNA
Source: RNAcentral
CGAUUCCUACGGGAGGCAGCAGUGGGGAAUCUUCCGCAAUGGGCGCAAGCCUGACGGAGUGACGCCGCGUGGGGGACGAAGGCCUUCGGGUCGUAAACCCCUGUCAGAGGGAAAGAGGGGUGGCGCGGUGAACAGCCGCGUCACUUGACGGUACCUUCAGAGGAAGCCCCGGCCAACUCUGUGCCAGCAGCCGCGGUAAGACAGAGGGGGCAAGCGUUGCUCGGAAUCACUGGGCGUAAAGGGCGCGUAGGCGGGGCGGCAAGUCGGUCGUGAAAGCCCUCGGCUCAACCGAGGAGAGUCGGCCGAGACUGUCGUUCUUGAGGGAUGCAGAGGAGACUGGAAUUCCCGGUGUAGCGGUGAAAUGUGUAGAGAUCGGGAGGAACACCGGUGGCGAAGGCGGGUCUCUGGGCAUUGCCUGACGCUGAGGCGCGAAAGCGUGGGGAGCAAACGGGAUUAGAUACCCCGGUAGUCCACGCUGUAAACGAUGACGACUAGGUGUGGGGUGGUUCAGUCCACUCCGUGCCGCAGCUAACGCAUUAAGUCGUCCGCCUGGGGAGUACGGCCGCAAGGUUGAAACUCAAAGGAAUUGACGGGGGCCCGCACAAGCGGUGGAGCAUGUGGUUCAAUUCGAUGCAGAGCGAAGAACCUUACCUGGGCUUGACAUGCAGGACGUAGGAACCCGAAAGGGGGACGACCCGUUGAAUCGGGAGCCUGCACAGGUGGUGCAUGGCUGUCGUCAGCUCGUGCCGUGAGGUGUUGGGUUAAGUCCCGCAACGAGCGCAACCCUCACCCCAUGUUGCCAACGGUUCGGCCGGGCACUCUUGGGGAACUGCCGGCGAAGAGCUGGAGGAAGGGGGGGAUGACGUCAAGUCCGUAUGCCCCUUAUGCCCAGGGCUACACACAUGCUACAAUGGCCGGUACAGAGGGUCGCCAACCCGCGAGGGGGAGCCAAUCCCACAAAGCCGGCCUCAGUUCGGAUUGCAGGCUGCAACUCGCCUGCAUGAAGUCGGAAUCGCUAGUAAGCGCAGAUCAGCAGGCUGCGCUGAAUACGUUCCCGGGCCUUGUACACACCGCC